Corythoichthys intestinalis (scribbled pipefish) is the source of this 1075-nucleotide long non-coding RNA. RefSeq lists it as uncharacterized. The record is from RefSeq and is a predicted model, not a curated record. NCBI's taxonomy places the organism in Eukaryota, Metazoa, Chordata, Actinopteri, Syngnathiformes, Syngnathidae. The transcript has 4 exons.
GCCGAAUGUGUGAGAGUUUCAGGUAUUUGCAGUUAAAACAAAACAAAAAAAAAAAGAUUAUUAAGGCACGGUAAAAUUACAGGAAUGUUACAUCUCCUGCUUCUCGCUCUUUUGCUCAGGGAAAGUAUGGGAGGUCCCAUAUUUAGAAGGACUAAUGAUCGUACUCCAGAUACUGAGUUCUAUUAUUCCAGCAACCUUCGACCCUAUAUUGGUCAUACUGAUGAAGGACAAUCCAUUUGAACUGAGAAGGUGGCAGCGAAUGAACCCCUCCUACUUCAAACGAGCCCCUCCCACUUCUAUGGCCAUCAGUGACAGCCAAUGCCAGGCAACGAGUUCCAGCAUCAUCACCUUGUCAAGAGUCAAGAAUCUGCAUUGGACAAGGUGAUGACGCUGGAACUUUUGUUUGGUGCCGUUCCAGUGAGAUUUACAAAGACGACUGCCUGAAGAAAACAUCAAAAUUCCUUCAUUCCUUGAUGAUAUGUGGCUGCAUGUCAGGCAAAGGCACUGGGGAGAUGACUGUGGUUAAAUCUUCAAUAAAUGCACACGUUUACAUUGAAAUUUUAGACAGCUUUUUUAUCCCUUCAAUUGAAAAUAUGUUUAUCAUUUUCCAAGAUGACAAUGCAUCAUGCCACAGAGCUAAAACUGUUAAAGCAUUCCUUGGAGAAAAACUCAUCCAGUCAAUGUCAUGGCCUGAAAAUAGCCCAGAUCUCAACCUUAUUGAAAACCUGUGGUGGAAAUGGAAAAAAAAUGGUCCACAGCAAGGCUCCGACCUGCAAGGAUGAUCUGACAACUGCAAUCAAAGAGAGUUGGCACCAAAUUGAUGAAGAAUACUCAUCAUGACCAUGCCUCAGAGACCGCAAGCUGUCAGAAAAGCCAGAGGUGGUGCUACUAAAUACUAGAGAUGUGUUUUGAUUGUUUUUUUCUUUGUUUCUCAUGAUUCCAUAUAUUUUUCCUCAGAAUGGAGUGAUUCCAUAUAUAUUUCCCUGCACUUGCUCUAUAAAAGUAACAUUUACUGACCAGCACAAUGUUUUUAUUCAUUUCUUUUAGUCUUUCUGAAUGCUAAAGAGUUGCACUU